This 67-nucleotide transfer RNA is filed under the name Gorgonocephalus chilensis. RNAcentral's name for it is "tRNA-Gly". Lineage: Eukaryota; Metazoa; Echinodermata; Ophiuroidea; Euryalida; Gorgonocephalidae. The record is from RNAcentral.
UUCCUAUAAGUAUAUAAAAGUAUAGUUGAUUUCCAAUCAAUUGGUCUACUAAUAAGUAGAUAGGAAA